UUAAUUGAAACCAAGUCAGAGGUUUAUCACUGUUAAUGAUAAUAAUGGGAUAAUAAUCCCCAAUUAAG
Molecule: transfer RNA, 68 nt
Filed under: Clytra espanoli
Lineage: Eukaryota; Metazoa; Arthropoda; Insecta; Coleoptera; Chrysomelidae
Description: tRNA-Asn
Source: RNAcentral